Apis dorsata (giant honeybee) is the source of this 1354-nucleotide long non-coding RNA. RefSeq lists it as uncharacterized. NCBI's taxonomy places the organism in Eukaryota, Metazoa, Arthropoda, Insecta, Hymenoptera, Apidae. The transcript is spliced from 2 exons. The record is from RefSeq and is a predicted model, not a curated record.
AGAGAGAGGGAGAAAAUGCGUUCGAACGAGUGCGAGAGAGAGAGAGAGAGAGAGAGAGCGUGAACGAGAUGAGCGCGAGAGCGGAGAUGAAUUUUCUAAGGUGUAGAACAGGAAGGCUUACCUAUCGCACAGCUGUCGUAAGGUCAGAUCAGCAUGUAUACCUUUAGAACGUAAGAGCGUAGUUGAUUAGCGCAUAGGCUAGGCUAGGGUCCGCCCUUGUAUAGGAACCUCUUUGUUGAUACUUAGAGAGCUGCGAAACCGGUGAGAUCGUUCGGGAUCGAACCUCGUCGAAACUCUGCUACGAGGGUUUGGAACGAGCCGAGAACGAGAACGGGUACGGCGGGAGGAUAGCGAGAGAAAUGGCAUAAUGGAGCAUCGAGAAGCAACGAGAUACGGUGCAAUAGCGAGGCUCGCGAUUAUACUCGAGACACGUGCGCGACGCGACGCGGCCUCCUCGAACGUUAUCGUUUUCCUUCGCUCGUAGCGCACGAGUAGACCAUUGUAAAUUUUCUUUGUUCAAAUAAUAUUUAUUGCGCCGUGCGAGUCAACGCGACGUUUUAAGUGUAAAAUAUUGUCAUUACUAUCGCUCGGAUUAUCGCGAUAUACCGUGUAUAUUGAUUACGAUUACGAUUAUUCUCUAUACAAUUACGAAGAAAACGAAUGGAAAACGCAGCAGAGAGAAAUAUUGGAUAGGGGGGGCUCCCUGCGCCAGAAAUCCCAUCGUCUCUCGGCUAACGUGCGUGCUUUUCUGCUUGGCCCGAAAAUUCGAAAGGAAGGGGACGAAAGACGGCGAGAUGACAGAAAGCUUGGACAAGCACGAUCGCCCGCGCGUGCGCGAGAACGCGAGAAGGAAGCUGGUGGCUUCGCGAGCGAGAAAGAAAAAGUGAGGCGAUGAUUGUGCGCGCGUUCGAGGACGAGUAAGCGCGGUUUUGGAGCGGAACACACUUGUAUACGUAUUUCUUGUAAACUCUAAUUCUUCCAUCGCGGACUUUAAAAGUAUUUAUCGAUAUAACGAUAAUAUUAAUAUUAUUAUUGUAAUUAUAUACGACUGCUGAGAGUGUGGCGUGGGGAUACGAGAGAUCCGCGCGAUUGCGAUACACGGCACAUGCGCGUGAACGAACGCGCAGCGCGUGCGCACUCGCGGAUACGAGAUACGAGAAACGAGAAAUAGCCAACCGUGCGAAAAAUACGCUCGAAAAGUACCUACCUACUUACAAAUGCGCAACCACAAAGAUAUGCAUCAUGUAUACGCGAUUCUUGAAACCAUUUUACCAGAUUUGUCAUUAUUUAAUUAUUUCGGUUGUAUUUUAAAAUGCAAUUAAAGCUCAAAUAAAUAUAUAUGUUAUAAAGUAAA